AAACAAAGAGCAUUAAAACGAGAAAGUGGAUAGAAAUAAAAGGUAAUUGGUAACAGAAUAGAUGAUGAUAAUCAUGCUAUAUCUCCAAGAUCCAAAGUAAGCCAUCUCAAAGAUGCUAUAGGGUGGAGAUGACAUCUGGAUUGUUUUUGAAGAAUGUUUGAGAUAGCUGUCCAAGUAAUGCCUUUAUGUGCCUCCAUCCAGAAUGGAAACAGAUCAUUACCCAAACCUAAGAGAAACUAAUGCAGAUCCAACCAACAUUUUGCUUCAAUACAGCCUAAAUUACAUGUUAACUACACUACAAGUAGCAUGUACCAAUUUACAAAAGAUG
Molecule: unclassified non-coding RNA, 328 nt
Filed under: Hevea brasiliensis (rubber tree)
Lineage: Eukaryota; Viridiplantae; Streptophyta; Magnoliopsida; Malpighiales; Euphorbiaceae
Source: RNAcentral